Molecule: ribosomal RNA, 308 nt
Filed under: uncultured bacterium
Lineage: Bacteria
Description: partial 16S ribosomal RNA
Rfam family: Bacterial small subunit ribosomal RNA
Source: RNAcentral
GAGACAGCAGCCGCCGCGGUAAUACAGAGGGUGCAAGCGUUAAUCGGAUUUACUGGGCGUAAAGGGCGCGUAGGUGGUUAUUUAAGUGAGAUGUGAAAUCCCCGGGCUUAACCUGGGAACUGCAUCUUAUACUGGGUAACUGGAGUGCAGUAGAGGGUAGUGGAAUUUCCGGUGUAGCGGUGAAAUGCGUAGAUAUCGGAAGGAACACCAGUGGCGAAGGCGGCUACCUGGACUGAGACUGACACUGAGGCGCGAGAGCGUGGGGAGCAAACAGGAUUAGAGACCCCAGUAGUCCCUGUCUCUUAUAC